UGAUUUACAUUUUGAGUGAGUGGCGAACUGGUGAGUAACACGUGGGAAACCUGCCCAGAAGCGGGGGAGUAACACCUGGAAACAGAUGCUAAUACCGCAUAACAACUUGGACCGCAUGGUCCGAGUUUGAAAGAAUGGCUUCGGCUAUCACUUUUGGAUGGUCCCGCGGCGUAUUAGCUAGAUGGUGGGGUAACGGGCUCACCAUGGCAAUGAUACGUAGCCGACCCUGAGAGGGUAAGUCAGGCCACAUUGGGACUGAGACACGGCCCCAAACUCC
This 277-nucleotide ribosomal RNA is filed under the name uncultured Lactobacillus sp. Its description in RNAcentral is "partial 16S ribosomal RNA". It matches the Rfam family "Bacterial small subunit ribosomal RNA", at positions 75 to 339 of the family's 1533-position model. The record is from RNAcentral. Lineage: Bacteria; Bacillati; Bacillota; Bacilli; Lactobacillales; Lactobacillaceae.